AGUGAACGCUGGCGGUAGGCCUAACACAUGCAAGUCGAACGGCAGCACAGUAAGAGCUUGCUCUUACGGGUGGCGAGUGGCGGACGGGUGAGGAAUACAUCGGAAUCUACUUUUUCGUGGGGGAUAACGUAGGGAAACUUACGCUAAUACCGCAUACGACCUACGGGUGAAAGCAGGGGUUCUUCGGACCUUGCGCGAUUGAAUGAGCCGAUGGCGGAUUAGCUAGUUGGCGGGGUAAAGGCCCACCAAGGCGACGAUCCGUAGCUGGUCUGAGAGGAUGAUCAGCCACACUGGAACUGAGACACGGUCCAGACUCCUACGGGAGGCAGCAGUGGGGAAUAUUCGGCAAUGGGCGCAAGCCUGAUCCAGCAAUACCGCGUGAGUGAAGAAGGCCUUCGGGUUGUAAAGCCCUUUUGUUGGGAAAGAAAAGCAGCAGGUUAAUCCCCCGCUGUUCUGACGGUACCCAAAGAAUAAGCACCGGCUAACUUCGUG
This 492-nucleotide ribosomal RNA is filed under the name uncultured bacterium. Its description in RNAcentral is "partial 16S ribosomal RNA". It matches the Rfam family "Bacterial small subunit ribosomal RNA", at positions 29 to 507 of the family's 1533-position model. The record is from RNAcentral.